This 207-nucleotide ribosomal RNA is filed under the name uncultured bacterium. Its description in RNAcentral is "partial 16S ribosomal RNA". It matches the Rfam family "Bacterial small subunit ribosomal RNA", at positions 568 to 774 of the family's 1533-position model. The record is from RNAcentral.
AGCGUAGGCGGACAUUUAAGUCAGGGGUGAAAUCCCGGGGCUCAACCUCGGAAUUGCCUUUGAUACUGGGUGUCUUGAGUAUGAGAGAGGUGUGUGGAACUCCGAGUGUAGAGGUGAAAUUCGCAGAUAUUCGGAAGAACACCAGUGGCGAAGGCGACACACAGGCUCAUUACUGACGCUGAGGCUCGAAAGCGUGGGGAGCAAACA